This 429-nucleotide ribosomal RNA is filed under the name Fusobacteriota bacterium. RNAcentral describes it as "Fusobacteria bacterium partial 16S ribosomal RNA". It matches the Rfam family "Bacterial small subunit ribosomal RNA", at positions 355 to 776 of the family's 1533-position model. The record is from RNAcentral. Lineage: Bacteria; Fusobacteriati; Fusobacteriota.
UGGGGAAUCUUCCGCAAUGGACGAAAGUCUGACGGAGCAACGCCGCGUGAGUGAAGACGGCCUUCGGGUGGUAAAGCUCUGUGAUCCGGGACGAAAGAGCCUGAGGUAAAUAGACUAAGGAAGUGACGGUACCGGAAAAGCAAGCCACGGCUAACUACGUGCCAGCAGCCGCGGUAAUACGUAGGUGGCAAGCGUUGUCCGGAAUUAUUGGGCGUAAAGCGCGCGCAGGCGGCUUCCUAAGUCCAUCUUAAAAGUGCGGGGCUUAACCCCGUGAUGGGAUGGAAACUGGGAAGCUGGAGUAUCGGAGAGGAAAGUGGAAUUCCUAGUGUAGCGGUGAAAUGCGUAGAGAUUAGGAAGAACACCGGUGGCUAAGGCUACUUUCUGGACGAAAACUGACGCUGAGGCGCGAAAGCGUGGGGAGCGAACAGG